RNAcentral lists this ribosomal RNA (253 nucleotides) under uncultured bacterium. RNAcentral's name for it is "partial 16S ribosomal RNA". It matches the Rfam family "Bacterial small subunit ribosomal RNA", at positions 524 to 776 of the family's 1533-position model. The record is from RNAcentral.
UACGAAGGGUGCAAGCGUUACUCGGAAUUACUGGGCGUAAAGCGUGCGUAGGUGGUUUGUUAAGUCUGUUGUGAAAGCCCCGGGCUCAACCUGGGGAUGGCAAUGGAUACUGGCAAGCUAGAGUGCGGUAGAGGGUAGUGGAAUUCCCGGUGUAGCGGUGAAAUGCGUAGAGAUCGGGAGGAACACCAGUGGCGAAGGCGGCUACCUGGACCAGCACUGACACUGAGGCACGAAAGCGUGGGGAGCGAACAGG